GUGGGGAAUUUUGGACAAUGGGCGCAAGCCUGAUCCAGCAAUGCCGCGUGCAGGAAGAAGGCCUUCGGGUUGUAAACUGCUUUUGUACGGAACGAAACGGUCCGGGUUAAUACCCUGGGCUAAUGACGGUACCGUAAGAAUAAGCACCGGCUAACUACGUGCCAGCAGCCGCGGUAAUACGUAGGGUGCAAGCGUUAAUCGGAAUUACUGGGCGUAAAGCGUGCGCAGGCGGUUUUGUAAGACAGGCGUGAAAUCCCCGGGCUCAACCUGGGAAUUGCGCUUGUGACUGCAAGGGUGGAGUGCGGCAGAGGGGGAUGGAAUUCCGCGUGUAGCAGUGAAAUGCGUAGAUAUGCGGAGGAACACCGAUGGCGAAGGCAAUCCCCUGGGCCUGCACUGACGCUCAUGCACGAAAGCGUGGGGAGCAAACAGGAUUAGAUACCCUGGUAGUCC
This 450-nucleotide ribosomal RNA is filed under the name uncultured bacterium. Its description in RNAcentral is "partial 16S ribosomal RNA". It matches the Rfam family "Bacterial small subunit ribosomal RNA", at positions 354 to 796 of the family's 1533-position model. The record is from RNAcentral.